GCUUAGAAUUAGUAAUUCUAUAAAAUACUAAAAGUUAAUUUUAAGGUGAACCACCCCUUUAAUAAGUGACAGAAGGGUAAAGGCAUGAAGGGUGGAAGAUGCAGGUGGGAGGCCAACAGCAGAGAUGAACAGAGAGUGGGAGAGAGAGAGAGGAGAUUGAUGACACACAAGACUGGAGAGGAACCUUGGUGGGAGGGAAAACUGUACUUUGAUACCUGGAAGGUUCGAAGCAGCAGCAGAACAAGUAAGAGUUUCAGGGUGUGGGAGGGGUAGAGGGAAAAACAGAGAUUUGUUUGUGCUCACCAAUGGCAUGUUUAUUUUGACAGUAAAUUUACCAAACCAAGAUGUAAUUGGAACAGAAUCCUUCAUCUAAUGGCACACAGGGAUCUGAAAAAAUGCAGAUUAUCUCAUAAUUUGUCUGCUUCUACAGCAUGAUAGCGUGAUUGGAGAAGGAGGGGGAGUGGAACAGCGAGUGACAGGCAGACAGAGCGCAGAAGGAUCAGGAGCAAAGAGUAACAAGGUGUGGGAGGGGCAGAGUGGCUGUGACGGAAAGAGGAGGGGGAGCGGAACAGAGAAACAGACGCAGCGAGACUAGACAUGGAGGGGGAACACUGAGGGAGCAAGCAGCAGAGGGUGGGAGACUAAAGGAGAAGCUAGAGCUGCCUUACCUCGGAAAAUGAAUCUCAUUGUAUCCAAAGACCGAGGAGGUCAGUUCUCAUCUUCCCUAAAUUCAAGAUGGCUAAAGUAAAAGAGAUGCAGGAUAUGGAAGUAAACCCUGGCUUCUAAUUCCUGUAUCUAAUCCCAGGACACCGGCAGAAGUAAAAUUUAACACAGCUCACAUAAAGACAAGAGGAGUUAUUGAGCGGACCUUUGGAGUCCUCAAAUCUACUUUCCGGUGUCUUUCAAAAUCUGGUGGAUGCCUGCAGUAUUCUCCAGAAACUGUUUCUCAGAUUAUUCAGGCUUGUGCGGUUCUGAACAAUGUUGCUUUAGACCAUGGAGUGAAUCUGGAAACUAAUGAGGAACUUCCUCCUGAAAUUCCCGGUUACCCUGCAGUUUCCCAAGAUUCGAGUGAUGAAGGGAAACGUGUGAGAUCGCAUCUCAUAACAUCAUUUUUCCAGUCAAAAACCAGAAAGUACAGAAAAUGGAUCAUUGUCAGUCUUUCAGGAUUUUUUAUGCCUAGCUUCCUGGUUUUCUUCUGUUCCACAGACGGCUUCCAGCUGCUGAGGUUGCUCAAUGUGUUGCUGGAUAACUUGGCAAAAAGAAAUAAAUAUUAUUUUUCAAACCAUA
Long non-coding RNA from Xenopus laevis (African clawed frog), 1287 nucleotides. RefSeq lists it as uncharacterized. NCBI's taxonomy places the organism in Eukaryota, Metazoa, Chordata, Amphibia, Anura, Pipidae. The transcript has 5 exons. The record is from RefSeq and is a predicted model, not a curated record.